This 109-nucleotide ribosomal RNA is filed under the name Candidatus Kaiserbacteria bacterium. The record is from RNAcentral. Lineage: Bacteria; Candidatus Kaiseribacteriota.
UCUGGUGAUGAAACCGGAGGGGAAACACCCGUUCUCAUUCCGAAUACGGCCGUUAAGACCUCCAGGGGCGAUGGUACUGCGCAAGCGGGAGAGUAGCUCGUCGCCAGUG